CCUACGGGUGGCAGCAGUGAGGAAUAUUGGUCAAUGGACGAGAGUCUGAACCAGCCAAGUAGCGUGAAGGAUGACUGCCCUAUGGGUUGUAAACUUCUUUUAUAUGGGAAUAAAACGUUCCACGUGUGGGAUUUUGUAUGUACCAUAUGAAUAAGGAUCGGCUAACUCCGUGCCAGCAGCCGCGGUAAUACGGAGGAUCCGAGCGUUAUCCGGAUUUAUUGGGUUUAAAGGGAGCGUAGGUGGAUUGUUAAGUCAGUUGUGAAAGUUUGCGGCUCAACCGUAAAAUUGCAGUUGAAACUGGCAGUCUUGAGUACAGUAGAGGUGGGCGGAAUUCGUGGUGUAGCGGUGAAAUGCUUAGAUAUCACGAAGAACUCCGAUUGCGAAGGCAGUUCACUGGACUGCAACUGAUACUGAGGCUCGAAAGUGUGGGUAUCAAACAGGAUUAGAUACCCCAGUAGUC
RNAcentral lists this ribosomal RNA (460 nucleotides) under uncultured bacterium. Its description in RNAcentral is "partial 16S ribosomal RNA". It matches the Rfam family "Bacterial small subunit ribosomal RNA", at positions 338 to 795 of the family's 1533-position model. The record is from RNAcentral.